UGCCAGCCGCCGCGGUAAUACGAAGGGUGCAAGCGUUAAUCGGAAUUACUGGGCGUAAAGCGCGCGUAGGCGGCUUGUUAAGUCGGAUGUGAAAGCCCCGGGCUCAACCUGGGAAUUGCAUUCGAUACUGGCAGGCUUGAGUACGAGAGAGGUGAGUGGAAUUCCAGGUGUAGCGGUGAAGUGCGUAGAUAUCUGGAGGAACAUCAGUGGCGAAGGCGGCUCCCUGGCCAAAGACUGACGCUCAUGUGCGAAAGUGUGGGUAGCGAACAGGAUUAGAUA
RNAcentral lists this ribosomal RNA (279 nucleotides) under uncultured bacterium. RNAcentral describes it as "partial 16S ribosomal RNA". It matches the Rfam family "Bacterial small subunit ribosomal RNA", at positions 506 to 784 of the family's 1533-position model. The record is from RNAcentral.